GACGAACGCUGGCGGCGCGCCUAACACAUGCAAGUCGAACGAGCGAGAGAGAGCUUGCUUUCUCGAGCGAGCGGCGGACGGGUGAGUAACGCGUGGAUAACCUGCCUCACACAGGGGGAUAACAGUUAGAAAUGACUGCUAAUACCGCAUAAGCGCACGGCAUCGCAUGAUGCAGUGUGAAAAACUCCGGUGGUGUGAGAUGGAUCCGCGUCUGAUUAGGUAGUUGGUGGGGUAACGGCCCACCAAGCCGACGAUCAGUAGCCGACCUGAGAGGGUGACCGGCCACACUGGGACUGAGACACGGCCCAG
Molecule: ribosomal RNA, 309 nt
Filed under: uncultured bacterium
Lineage: Bacteria
Description: bacterial SSU rRNA
Rfam family: Bacterial small subunit ribosomal RNA
Source: RNAcentral